RNAcentral lists this unclassified non-coding RNA (378 nucleotides) under plant metagenome. RNAcentral describes it as "partial contains 5.8S ribosomal RNA, internal transcribed spacer 2, and large subunit ribosomal RNA". The stretch from base 1 to 105 matches the Rfam family "5.8S ribosomal RNA", at positions 50 to 154 of the family's 154-position model. The record is from RNAcentral.
GAAAUGCGAUAAGUAAUGUGAAUUGCAGAGUUUUGUGAAUCAUCGAAUCUUUGAACGCACCUUGCGCUCCUUGGUAUUCCUUGGAGCAUGCCUGUUUGAGUAUCAUGAAAUCUUCAAAGUAAAUCUUUUGUUAACUCAAUUGGUUUCUACUUUGGUAUUGGAGGUCUUUGCAGCUUCACACCUGCUCCUCUUUGUUCAUUAGCUGGAUCUCAGUGUUAUGCUUGGUUCCACUCGGCGUGAUAAGUUAUCUAUCGCUGAGGACACUGUAAAAGGUGGCCAAGGUAAAUGCAGAUGAACCGCUUCUAAUAGUCCAUUGACUUGGACAAUACUUUUAUGAUCUGAUCUCAAAUCAGGUAGGACUACCCGCUGAACUUAAGC